AGUGAACGCUGGCGGUAGGCCUAACGCAUGCAAGUCGAACGGCAGCACAGUAAGAGCUUGCUCUUACGGGUGGCGAGUGGCGGACGGGUGAGGAAUACAUCGGAAUCUACUUUUUCGUGGGGGAUAACGUAGGGAAACUUACGCUAAUACCGCAUACGACCUACGGGUGAAAGCAGGGGAUCUUCGGACCUUGCGCGAUUGAAUGAGCCGAUGUCGGAUUAGCUAGUUGGCGGGGUAAAGGCCCACCCAGGCGACGAUCCGUAGCUGGUCUGAGAGGAUGAUCAGCCACACUGGGACUGAGACACGGUCCAGACUCCUACGGGAGGCAGCAGUGGGGAAUAUUGGACAAUGGGCGCAAGCCUGAUCCAGCCAUACCGCGUGGGUGAAGAAGGCCUUCGGGUUGUAAAGCCCUUUUGUUGGGAAAGAAAAGCAGCAGGUUAAUACCCCGCUGUUCUGACGGUACCCAAAGAAUAAGCACCGGCUAACUUCGUG
Molecule: ribosomal RNA, 492 nt
Filed under: uncultured bacterium
Lineage: Bacteria
Description: partial 16S ribosomal RNA
Rfam family: Bacterial small subunit ribosomal RNA
Source: RNAcentral